UGUCCUACGGGAGGCAGCAGUCGGGAAUAUUGCGCAAUGGAGGAAACUCUGACGCAGUGACGCCGCGUAUAGGAAGAAGGUUUUCGGAUUGUAAACUAUUGUCGUUAGGGAAGAUAAAAGACUGUACCUAAGGAGGAAGCCCCGGCUAACUAUGUGCCAGCAGCCGCGGUAAUACAUAGGGGGCAAGCGUUAUCCGGAAUUAUUGGGUGUAAAGGGAGCGUAGGUGGCAGGGCAAGUCAGAUGUGAAAACCCGGGGCUCAACUCCGGGAGUGCAUUUGAAACUGUCCAGCUAGAGUGCAGGAGAA
RNAcentral lists this ribosomal RNA (305 nucleotides) under uncultured bacterium. RNAcentral describes it as "bacterial SSU rRNA". It matches the Rfam family "Bacterial small subunit ribosomal RNA", at positions 335 to 656 of the family's 1533-position model. The record is from RNAcentral.